RNA transcript from Abrus precatorius (Indian licorice), 1510 nucleotides. It is a transcript of the gene named protein THYLAKOID FORMATION1, chloroplastic-like, with no coding region annotated. NCBI's taxonomy places the organism in Eukaryota, Viridiplantae, Streptophyta, Magnoliopsida, Fabales, Fabaceae. The record is from RefSeq and is a predicted model, not a curated record. The transcript has 5 exons.
AAAGCCUCACUUUCUGGGAGUCACAAAGCAAUGCAACUGCAACUCUCCCUCUGAAUAUUCUAUGCCGGAAAGCUUCUGAUUCCGGCCACCACACUCUCUCUUUCUCUCUUCCAAUGGCCGCUGUUACUUCUUCGUUCUCUUUCUCUACGCUCACUCAAUCUUCGCAGAGGAACCUCACUCCCUCUUCCACUCGCUUUCCUGAUUCCAAUUCACGCGCCUUUCGCUUCAACCUCGGUUUCUCCUGCCACUAUGUUGGAGUUCGAGCUUCGAAUUCCGCUUCCAAAUUUGUUGUUCGCUGCUCCUCUUCCGUGUCAGACCCUCCAACUGUUUCUGAGACAAAGUCAAAUUUUCUCAAGGCAUAUAAGCGACCAAUUCCUAGUAUCUACAACUCGGUACUGCAGGAGCUUAUUGUCCAGCAACAUUUGAUGAGAUACAAGAGGUCAUACUGUUAUGACCCUGUAUUUGCUCUUGGCUUUGUCACUGUAUAUGAGCAACUCAUGGAAGGGUAUCCUAGUGAUGAGGACCGAGAUGCCAUCUUCCAAGCAUACAUUAAUGCAUUGAAUGAAGAUCCUGACCAAUACAGAUUAGAUGCAAAGAAAUUGGAAGAGUGGGCUCGGGCUCAAAACUCAACUUCACUAGUUGAGUUUUCAUCCAGAGAGGGAGAAGUUGAGGGGAUAUUAAAGGAUAUUGUAGAAAGAGCAGGAGGAAAGGGGGAUUUCAGUUAUAGUCGUUUCUUCGCAAUAGGCCUCUUUCGUCUUCUUGAGUUGGCAAAUGCAAUGGAACCAAUAAUUUUGGAAAAGGUUACCCAAUUCAUUUUUGGCAUCAUGAUAUAUUGAUUUGAAUUUAUUCAAAUACUUAUUUUAUUUAUAUAUUUUGUUUUACAAUUUGAAACUACCCAGUUAGUUUUCAUUUAUAUCAGGUCUAGAAAACUACUCGUUCAAGAUUUUAGAUGUCCUCUAUUGGGCCUGUUCAGCUGUGUGCAGUUUUGAAUGUCAACAAAAGAAGUGUGGAUCGGGAUUUGGAUGUGUACCGUAAUAUGCUUUCUAAGCUGGUUCAAGCUAAAGAGCUGCUAAAGGAAUAUGUUGACAGGGAGAAGAAGAAAAGAGAAGAAAGGGCUGAACCGCAAAAGGCUAAUGAAGCCUUUACGAAAUCUUUGGGACAACAGCAAUUUUCUGGCAUGUAGUUAUGGGGCCAUCUUCUGAAAUGAUCAUCACCCUGUGAGGAUUUGGUAUUUUUUUACUUGCUUUUUUUGGUUGGUCCCGAGGCGUUGGGUAAUCAGAGUGGGGCCCCUCUUAUCAUCAUGGUUUUGCACACUGUAUUUGAUGUUUCUUCUGCCAUGGUGAUCCAGCUAAAUCCUUGUUUCUGCUCUACCACAAUUAAUUUACACCUCCAACACAGUCUUCUGUAAUCUUAUUGUAUUUUUUCCUCCACACAGUCGCAAUUGUAUUUUGUAGUUCUCAAAUGCUUGCCUGAAGGCAUAUAUUCUGGUUAUUGAAUUUCUUCAUAUCUC